This 425-nucleotide ribosomal RNA is filed under the name uncultured rumen bacterium. RNAcentral's name for it is "bacterial SSU rRNA". It matches the Rfam family "Bacterial small subunit ribosomal RNA", at positions 354 to 776 of the family's 1533-position model. The record is from RNAcentral.
GUGAGGAAUAUUGGUCAAUGGGCGAGAGCCUGAACCAGCCAAGUAGCGUGCAGGAUGACGGCCCUAUGGGUUGUAAACUGCUUUUAUACGGGGAUAAAGUGAGGGACGUGUCCCUUUUUGUAGGUACCGUAUGAAUAAGGACCGGCUAAUUCCGUGCCAGCAGCCGCGGUAAUACGGAAGGUCCGGGCGUUAUCCGGAUUUAUUGGGUUUAAAGGGAGCGCAGGCUGAUUAUUAAGCGUGACGUGAAAUGUAGCCGCUCAACGGCUGAACUGCGUCGCGAACUGGUAGUCUUGAGUGAGUUCGAUGUUGGCGGAAUUCGUGGUGUAGCGGUGAAAUGCUUAGAUAUCACGAAGAACUCCGAUUGCGAAGGCAGCCAACAAGGCCUUUACUGACGCUAAAGCUCGAAGGUGCGGGUAUCGAACAGG